AGCCCUGGGGGUGUCGUUUGUGGGAGUGUGGGGAGGUGAUUAUGGGGUGUCACGGGUGGCCGUGGUGGUGGUGGCCGUCACCGGGCCGUACCGCAGCGGCAAAUCCUACCUGAUGAACUGGCUGGCCGGGAGGAGGGCGGGUGGAAGGAAAAUGGGGGGGGGGCACUGUGUGCCCCCCAGGUUGGGGUUCUCAUCCUCUGUUGACCAGUGGUGGACCAAUGGUUGACCAGUAGCAGACUCAUGCUUGACUAAUGGUUAACCAAUGGUUGACCAGUAGUUGACCAAAGGCUAACCAGUGCUUGACCAGUAGUUGACCAAUGGAUGACCAAUGCUUGACCAAUGGUUGACCAGUAUUGGACCAAUGGUUGACCAAACAUUGACAAAAGGCUGACCAAUGGUUGACCAGUGGUGAAACAAUGGUUGAUGAAUGGUUGACCAAUGGCUGACUGAAGGCUGACCAGUGUUUGACCAAAGGCUGACCAAUGGAUGACCAGUAGUUGACCAAUGGUUGACCAGUAGUUGACCAAUGGCUGACCAAUGGUUGACCUGUACUUGACCAGUAGUUGACCAGUGGAUGACCAAUGGUUGACCAGUAGCUGAUCAGUGCUUGACCAGUAGUGGACCAAUGGAUGACCAAACAUUGUCAAAAGGCUGACCAAGGGUUGAUCAGUAGUUGACCAAUGGUUGAUGAAUGGUUGAACAAUGCUUGACCAAUGGUUGACCAGUAUUGCACCAAUGGUUGACCAAACAUUGACAAAAGGCUGGCCAAUGGUUG
This 775-nucleotide long non-coding RNA is filed under the name Gallus gallus (chicken). Its description in RNAcentral is "lncRNA (ENSGALG00010028934.1)". The record is from RNAcentral. Lineage: Eukaryota; Metazoa; Chordata; Aves; Galliformes; Phasianidae.